UAGGGAAUCUUCCACAAUGGACGCAAGUCUGAUGGAGCAACGCCGCGUGAGUGAAGAAGGUUUUCGGAUCGUAAAGCUCUGUUGUUGGUGAAGAAGGAUAGAGGUAGUAACUGGCCUUUAUUUGACGGUAAUCAACCAGAAAGUCACGGCUAACUACGUGCCAGCAGCCGCGGUAAUACGUAGGUGGCAAGCGUUGUCCGGAUUUAUUGGGCGUAAAGCGAGCGCAGGCGGAAGAAUAAGUCUGAUGAGAAAGCCCUCGGCUUAACCGAGGAACUGCAUCGGAAACUGUUUUUCUUGAGUGCAGAAGAGGAGAGUGGAAUUCCAUGUGUAGCGGUGGAAUGCGUAGAUAUAUGGAAGAACACCAGUGGCGAAGGCGACUCUCUGGUCUGCAACUGACGCUGAGGCUCGAAAGCAUGGGUAGCGAACAGG
Molecule: ribosomal RNA, 429 nt
Filed under: bacterium
Lineage: Bacteria
Description: partial 16S ribosomal RNA
Rfam family: Bacterial small subunit ribosomal RNA
Source: RNAcentral